GCCCGCUUGGCUUAGUGGUACAGCGUCGCACUCGUAAUGCGAAGAUCCGCGGUUCGAUUCCGCGAGUGGGCA
This 72-nucleotide transfer RNA is filed under the name Bipolaris sorokiniana ND90Pr. RNAcentral describes it as "tRNA-Thr (CGT) (tRNA-Thr-CGT-1-1)". It matches the Rfam family "tRNA". From Rfam's summary of the family: Transfer RNA (tRNA) molecules are approximately 80 nucleotides in length. Their secondary structure includes four short double-helical elements and three loops (D, anti-codon, and T loops). Lineage: Eukaryota; Fungi; Ascomycota; Dothideomycetes; Pleosporales; Pleosporaceae. The record is from RNAcentral. RNAcentral also lists the same sequence under 2 other names.